RNAcentral lists this ribosomal RNA (484 nucleotides) under uncultured bacterium. Its description in RNAcentral is "bacterial SSU rRNA". It matches the Rfam family "Bacterial small subunit ribosomal RNA", at positions 411 to 906 of the family's 1533-position model. The record is from RNAcentral.
AGGGCCUUCGGGUUGUAACCUCUUUUAGUAGGGAAGAAGCGAAAGUGACGGUACCUACAGAAAAAGCACCGGCUAACUACGUGCCAGCAGCCGCGGUAAUACGUAGGGUGCAAGCGUUGUCCGGAAUUAUUGGGCGUAAAGAGCUCGUAGGCGGUCUGUCGCGUCUGCUGUGAAAACCCGAGGCUCAACCUCGGGCCUGCAGUGGGUACGGGCAGACUAGAGUGCGGUAGGGGAGACUGGAAUUCCUGGUGUAGCGGUGAAAUGCGCAGAUAUCAGGAGGAACACCAAUGGCGAAGGCAGGUCUCUGGGCCGUCACUGACGCUGAGGAGCGAAAGCGUGGGGAGCAAACAGGAUUAGAGACCCUGGUAGUCCACGCCGUAAACGGUGGGCGCUAGUUGUGGGAACCAUUCCACGGUUUCCGUGACGUAGCUAACGCAUUAAGCGCCCCGCCUGGGGAGUACGGCCGCAAGGCUAAAACUCAAAG